UACGUAGGGGGCGAGCGUUGUCCGGAAUUAUUGGGCGUAAAGAGCGUGUAGGCGGUUCGGUAAGUCUGCCGUGAAAACCUGGGGCUCAACCCCGGGCGUGCGGUGGAUACUGCCGGGCUAGAGGGUGGUAGAGGCGAGUGGAAUUCCCGGUGUAGCGGUGAAAUGCGCAGAUAUCAGGAAGAACACCCGUGGCGAAGGCGGCUCUCUGGGCAGUAACUGACGCUGAGGAGCGAAAGCGUGGGGAGCGAACAGG
Molecule: ribosomal RNA, 253 nt
Filed under: uncultured bacterium
Lineage: Bacteria
Description: partial 16S ribosomal RNA
Rfam family: Bacterial small subunit ribosomal RNA
Source: RNAcentral